GACGAACGCUGGCGGCGUGCUUAACACAUGCAAGUCGAACGGAAAGGCCCUGCUUGCAGGGUACUCGAGUGGCGAACGGGUGAGUAACACGUGGGUGAUCUGCCCUGCACUUCGGGAUAAGCCUGGGAAACUGGGUCUAAUACCGGAUAGGAGCCAUUUUUAGUGUGAUGGUUGGAAAGUUUUUUCGGUGUAGGAUGAGCUCGCGGCCUAUCAGCUUGUUGGUGGGGUAAUGGCCUACCAAGGCGGCGACGGGUAGCCGGCCUGAGAGGGUGGACGGCCACAUUGGGACUUAGGUACGGCCCAGACUCCUACGGGAGGCAGCUGUGGGGAAUAUUGCACAAUGGGCGCAAGCCUGAUGCAGCGACGCCGCGUGUGGGAUGACGGCCUUCGGGUUGUAAACUCCUUUCGCUAGGGACGAAGCUUUUUGUGACGGUACCUAGAUAAGAAGCACCGGCUAACUACGUG
RNAcentral lists this ribosomal RNA (465 nucleotides) under uncultured bacterium. RNAcentral describes it as "partial 16S ribosomal RNA". It matches the Rfam family "Bacterial small subunit ribosomal RNA", at positions 28 to 507 of the family's 1533-position model. The record is from RNAcentral.